GCUGGGUAUGGUGGCGUACACCUGUAAUCCCAGUGGCUUGCAAGGCUGAGGCAGGAGGAUCGCAAGUUCAAAGCUAGCCUCAGCAAUUUAGCAAGGCCCUAAGCAACUUAGCAAGAUCCUGUCUCAA
This 127-nucleotide small RNA is filed under the name Marmota monax (woodchuck). The record is from RNAcentral. Lineage: Eukaryota; Metazoa; Chordata; Mammalia; Rodentia; Sciuridae.